This 501-nucleotide ribosomal RNA is filed under the name uncultured bacterium. RNAcentral's name for it is "partial 16S ribosomal RNA". It matches the Rfam family "Bacterial small subunit ribosomal RNA", at positions 30 to 523 of the family's 1533-position model. The record is from RNAcentral.
AUUGAACGCUGGCGGCAGGCUUAACACAUGCAAGUCGAGCGGGGUGAAGUGCUUCGGUACUGAUCCUAGCGGCGGACGGGUGAGUAAUGCUUAGGAAUCUGCCAUUUAGUGGGGGACAACAUUCCGAAAGGAAUGCUAAUACCGCAUACGUCCUACGGGAGAAAGCAGGGGAUCUUCGGACCUUGCGCUAAAUGAUGAGCCUAAGUCGGAUUAGCUAGUUGGUGGGGUAAAGGCCUACCAAGGCGACGAUCUGUAGCGGGUCUGAGAGGAUGAUCCGCCACACUGGGACUGAGACACGGCCCAGACUCCUACGGGAGGCAGCAGUGGGGAAUAUUGGACAAUGGGCGGAAGCCUGAUCCAGCCAUGCCGCGUGUGUGAAGAAGGCCUUUUGGUUGUAAAGCACUUUAAGCGAGGAGGAGGCUACCUGGAUUAAUACUCUGGGAUAGUGGACGUUACUCGCAGAAUAAGCACCGGCUAACUCUGUGCCAGCCGCCGCGGUAA